Molecule: ribosomal RNA, 176 nt
Filed under: Salmonella enterica subsp. enterica serovar Corvallis
Lineage: Bacteria; Pseudomonadati; Pseudomonadota; Gammaproteobacteria; Enterobacterales; Enterobacteriaceae
Description: partial 16S ribosomal RNA
Rfam family: Bacterial small subunit ribosomal RNA
Source: RNAcentral
UUAAAUUGAAGAGUUUGAUCAUGGCUCAGAUUGAACGCUGGCGGCAGGCUUAACACAUGCAAGUCGAACGGUAACAGGAAGCAGCUUGCUGCUUUGCUGACGAGUGGCGGACGGGUGAGUAAUGUCUGGGAAACUGCCUGAUGGAGGGGGAUAACUACUGGAAACGGUGGCUAAUA